UACGGGGGGGGCAAGCGUUGUUCGGAAUUACUGGGCGUAAAGGGCGCGUAGGCGGCCUGCUAAGUCACACGUGAAAUCCCUCGGCUCAACCGGGGAACUGCGUGUGAUACUGGCGGGCUUGAAUUCGGGAGAGGGAUGCAGAAUUCCAGGUGUAGCGGUGAAAUGCGUAGAUAUCUGGAGGAAUACCGGUGGCGAAGGCGGCAUCCUGGACCGGCAUUGACGCUGAGGAGCGAAAGCUAGGGGAGCAAACGGG
RNAcentral lists this ribosomal RNA (253 nucleotides) under uncultured bacterium. RNAcentral's name for it is "partial 16S ribosomal RNA". It matches the Rfam family "Bacterial small subunit ribosomal RNA", at positions 524 to 776 of the family's 1533-position model. The record is from RNAcentral.